This 497-nucleotide ribosomal RNA is filed under the name uncultured bacterium. RNAcentral's name for it is "partial 16S ribosomal RNA". It matches the Rfam family "Bacterial small subunit ribosomal RNA", at positions 28 to 507 of the family's 1533-position model. The record is from RNAcentral.
GAUGAACGCUGGCGGCGUGCCUAAUACAUGCAAGUCGAGCGAACAGACGAGGAGCUUGCUCCUCUGACGGUAGCGGCGGACGGGUGAGUAACACGUGGAUAACCUACCUAUAAGACUGGGAUAACUUCGGGAAACCGGAGCUAAUACCGGAUAAUAUAUUGAACCGCAUGGUUCAAUAGUGAAAGACGGUUUUGCUGUCACUUAUAGAUGGAUCCGCGUCGCAUUAGCUAGUUGGUAAGGUAACGGCUUACCAAGGCGACGAUGCGUAGCCGACCUGAGAGGGUGAUCGGCCACACUGGAACUGAGACACGGUCCAGACUCCUACGGGAGGCAGCAGUAGGGAAUCUUCCGCAAUGGGCGAAAGCCUGACGGAGCAACGCCGCGUGAGUGAUGAAGGUCUUCGGAUCGUAAAACUCUGUUAUUAGGGAAGAACAAAUGUGUAAGUAACUAUGCACGUCUUGACGGUACCUAAUCAGAAAGCCACGGCUAACUACGUG